RNAcentral lists this ribosomal RNA (304 nucleotides) under uncultured bacterium. RNAcentral's name for it is "partial 16S ribosomal RNA". It matches the Rfam family "Bacterial small subunit ribosomal RNA", at positions 509 to 807 of the family's 1533-position model. The record is from RNAcentral.
CAGCAGCCGCCACGGUAAUACGUAGGGUGCAAGCGUUAAUCGGAAUUACUGGGCGUAAAGCGUGCGCAGGCGGUUAUAUAAGACAGAUGUGAAAUCCCCGGGCUCAACCUGGGAACUGCAUUUGUGACUGUAUAGCUAGAGUACGGCAGAGGGGGAUGGAAUUCCGCGUGUAGCAGUGAAAUGCGUAGAUAUGCGGAGGAACACCGAUGGCGAAGGCAAUCCCCUGGGCCUGUACUGACGCUCAUGCACGAAAGCGUGGGGAGCAAACAGGAUUAGAUACCCGCGUAGUCCCUGUCUCUUAUAC